This 293-nucleotide unclassified non-coding RNA is filed under the name Inocybe sp. RNAcentral describes it as "partial contains 5.8S ribosomal RNA, internal transcribed spacer 2, and large subunit ribosomal RNA". The stretch from base 1 to 52 matches the Rfam family "5.8S ribosomal RNA", at positions 103 to 154 of the family's 154-position model. The record is from RNAcentral. Lineage: Eukaryota; Fungi; Basidiomycota; Agaricomycetes; Agaricales; Inocybaceae. RNAcentral also lists the same sequence under 2 other names.
AACGCAUCUUGCGCUCCUUGGUAUUCCGAGGAGCAUGCCUGUUUGAGUGUCAUUUUGAACUCUCAAAGCCCACAUUUUCGAUGUGGCUUUGGACUUGGGGGCUUUUGCAGGCUUUCAACAGAAAGGCCUGCUCCCUUGAAAUUCAUUAGUGGUAUCUGGAGCGGAAACCGCUAGGUGUUGAUAACAUUCAUCUAUGCCUUUGGGUAUGCCGCGCAAAAUGUGCUGCUUCCAACGCCCCACGCUCUCUUGACAAACUUGACCUCAAAUCAGGUAGGACUACCCGCUGAACUUAA